RNAcentral lists this ribosomal RNA (397 nucleotides) under uncultured bacterium. RNAcentral describes it as "partial 16S ribosomal RNA". It matches the Rfam family "Bacterial small subunit ribosomal RNA", at positions 523 to 918 of the family's 1533-position model. The record is from RNAcentral.
AUACGUAGGGGGCGAGCGUUGUCCGGAAUGAUUGGGCGUAAAGGGCGCGUAGGCGGCCCGGUAAGUCUGGAGUGAAAGUCCUGUUUUUAAGAUGGGAAUUGCUUUGGGUACUGUCGGGCUUGAGUGCAGGAGAGGUAAGUGGAAUUCCCAGUGUAGCGGUGAAAUGCGUAGAGAUUGGGAGGAACACCAGUGGCGAAGGCGACUUACUGGACUGUAACUGACGCUGAGGCGCGAAAGUGUGGGGAGCAAACAGGAUUAGAUACCCUGGUAGUCCACACUGUAAACGAUGAAUGCUAGGUGUAGGGGGUAUCGACCCCUUCUGUGCCGCAGUCAACACAAUAAGCAUUCCGCCUGGGGGGUACGGCCGCAAGGUUGAAACUCAAAUGAAUUGGCGGGG